Molecule: RNA transcript, 871 nt
Organism: Spinacia oleracea (spinach)
Lineage: Eukaryota; Viridiplantae; Streptophyta; Magnoliopsida; Caryophyllales; Amaranthaceae
Exons: 5
Source: RefSeq, a predicted model, not a curated record
UACGUAGUAUGCAUAAUCCCAAUAGUUAACCACUUUUUCCAAAUACAAGGGAGAACAAAUGGAAAUGAAGGUGUACGUGGUGGCAGUGAUAAUAUUGUUGUCUAUACAAUUCAUGCCUUCAUCAACACAAGAAGGUCCAACUCCAGCUCCUUCGCCAAUAGGCGAUCCAGAUCUAGGACGGUGUUGGGAUAACAUCGGGAAUUGCUUGAAUGAUAACAUCAACAACAGUCGAUCGAUGCCACAGUUUGAUCCAUUAAGUGGGUCAUUUAACGUGACAGAAUUCUAUUGUUGCUCUCUCAUUCAAGAAAUAGCAAGUACUGAAACACCGUGUUUUUGUAACAUGAACACAUAUCUUCACCAAUUUCCGACUAUGGCAAACAGUGUUUUCCAGAUUUUUACCACAUGCGGCAUCGUCACCUCACUUCCUGCUCUUGACAGAUUUUGCCUUGGUGAAGCGCCAAGCCCUGCCCCAACUCCAAUGAUGUCAUUAUCUCCUGUUUCCACCGCCUUCGACGAGGUAAUCUCUGGUGGGAGUUUGCAUGGGUACCUCGAUGGACAGCAUCCUCCCAGUUGAGAUUUUUUCCAUUCCCAAGACUCGAACCCGAGACUUUGGUUAAGGAGCAAGAGACCCUUAACCACUCAUGCCAACCUCAAUUGGUAAUUCUUAAGAUAAAGCUGGCGGUUCUCCCAAGGACACGAUGACAGGGUCACUUUAAGCUUCUCCAUUUAAUUUCCGUCUUGCAUAUAUACUUCAUUUUGUUUAGUUCUCUGGGCGGAGCUUGAUUUCCAUUAUCAUUUGUUAAGUGCACUAUGUACAAUUAAGGAACUGAUUGAACUUUAACAAUAAAGAUACUACAUAUUUAUGUUUGUG